RNAcentral lists this long non-coding RNA (231 nucleotides) under Setaria italica (foxtail millet). Its description in RNAcentral is "long non-coding RNA (SITA_LNC005848)". Lineage: Eukaryota; Viridiplantae; Streptophyta; Magnoliopsida; Poales; Poaceae. The record is from RNAcentral.
GCAUUUUUCCAUCUUGGACAAGUCCCUCUUUAUGCCAACGCAUAUAGAUGUGGUCGCUCUCAUGUAUAACCUCUGCAGACGAGGGGUCACUGGAAAAUACCUUAGGAUUUUCUAUGGAAAAUGCUUCUGUGGUCCCUCCUUCUCACUUGAACCAGCAGCUUUCCAUCUUGACUCUCCACAUGUUGGACAUUUAUCCAAGUCAGCAUAUUGCUUUCUAAAUAAAACACAAUC